RNAcentral lists this ribosomal RNA (253 nucleotides) under uncultured bacterium. RNAcentral's name for it is "partial 16S ribosomal RNA". It matches the Rfam family "Bacterial small subunit ribosomal RNA", at positions 524 to 776 of the family's 1533-position model. The record is from RNAcentral.
UACGUAGGGGGCAAGCGUUAUCCGGAAUCAUUGGGCGUAAAGCGCGUGUAGGCGGUUCCGUAAGUCCGCUCUGAAAGCCCAGGGCUCAACCCUGGGAGGCGGGUGGAUACUACGGAACUGGAGUACGGAAGAGGAGAUUGGAAUUCCUGGUGUAGCGGUGAAAUGCGCAGAUAUCAGGAGGAGCACCGGUGGCGAAGGCGGUUCUCUGGGCAUUACCUGACGCUGAGGAGCGAAAGUGUGGGGAGCGAACAGG